RNAcentral lists this transfer RNA (72 nucleotides) under human gut metagenome. It matches the Rfam family "tRNA". From Rfam's summary of the family: Transfer RNA (tRNA) molecules are approximately 80 nucleotides in length. The record is from RNAcentral.
GAGGCAUAGCUCAGUUGGUUAGAGCGCACGGUUCACAUCCGUGAGGUCGCGGGUUCAAAUCCCUCUGUCUCC